RNAcentral lists this long non-coding RNA (533 nucleotides) under Medicago truncatula (barrel medic). Its description in RNAcentral is "long non-coding RNA (MTRU_LNC002431)". The record is from RNAcentral. Lineage: Eukaryota; Viridiplantae; Streptophyta; Magnoliopsida; Fabales; Fabaceae.
UGUUGACGGAACCAGUGAAGCGAACGGGCUUGCGUACGCCGGUGGUGGGUAGGUAGCGCCACCGCCGCCGGAGGAGUGAGAAUCUUCCUUUGGUGGUUUCUGGUAAGGGGCGGCGUAAGGAGCGGAGGGUUGGCCGUAGGAGGUGGGGGGUGGUGCGCCGUAGGAUUGAGAUGGCGGUGGUGCGCCGUAGGAUUGAGAUGGAGGAGGAGCGCCGUAGGAUUGGGAUGGUGGAUGUGAGCCGUGGGAUUGAGAUGGAGGAGGGGCACCGUAGGAUGAUGGUGGAUGUGAGCCGUGAGAUUGGGAAGGAGGUGGUGCGCCGUAGGAUUGGGAAGGAGGUGGUGCGCCGUAGCCGUAACCGUAACUGGGAGGUUGAUUUGGGUAGCCGGACAUGUUGAAGAGUGAGAGGGUUUGUUAGAGAAAAUUAUAUGAGUGAAGAAGAGCAGAGACAAAUGAUAGUGGAUUUUGUGGAGGUUCUGGAUUUAUAUACAGCUACUCCUGAUAUAUGCUGAGGUGGAAUGGUUAUGUGGUUUUAG